UACGGGGGGGGCAAGCGUUGUUCGGAAUUACUGGGCGUAAAGGGCUCGUAGGCGGCCAACUAAGUCAGACGUGAAAUCCCUCGGCUUAACCGGGGAACUGCGUCUGAUACUGGAUGGCUUGAGAUUGGGAGAGGGAUGCGGAAUUCCAGGUGUAGCGGUGAAAUGCGUAGAUAUCUGGAGGAACACCGGUGGCGAAGGCGGCAUCCUGGACCAAUAUUGACGCUGAGGAGCGAAAGCCAGGGGAGCAAACGGG
This 253-nucleotide ribosomal RNA is filed under the name uncultured bacterium. Its description in RNAcentral is "partial 16S ribosomal RNA". It matches the Rfam family "Bacterial small subunit ribosomal RNA", at positions 524 to 776 of the family's 1533-position model. The record is from RNAcentral.